RNAcentral lists this long non-coding RNA (744 nucleotides) under Triticum aestivum (bread wheat). RNAcentral's name for it is "long non-coding RNA (TAES_LNC017033)". The record is from RNAcentral. Lineage: Eukaryota; Viridiplantae; Streptophyta; Magnoliopsida; Poales; Poaceae.
UUAAACCUAUAUUUUGGAAAACAAACAGUUUAUACUACUAAAAAUGAACAAUCCAACAGUCUAUUGUUUUAAGAAAUGGUCAUAGUAAUGAAAAAUAAUGUUCUUAUAUGAAUUCUUCUACAAAAUUGUAACAAUGGAACACAUAUGAGAGAAAGAAUUGGGCAGCAUUUCUAUUGAAUUUUGGACAGCACUUCAAUUGAACUUUACACAGGAAAACAUCAAAUAUUGACAGCCAAACAAGGAAAUUUUGCAUAGCAUAACACUUACCACUUUGACAUAAAACUGAGAAAAUGUUGACAGCCAAACAAUGACUAGUGAAAACCACAUAAUACAAAGUUCAUAGUUCAUCACAAGUUCACAACAACAUUGUUGAAAGUGCAUGGUUCAUCACAACAUCAUUCAAGGUUCAUAGUUCAUCACAACAGCACACAUAAUUCGAAGUUCAUCACAACAAAAGAAAUGGCACGAGAUGAUCACGUUGACCUCAACAAUCCACAUGAGAAGAUCAUGUAGACAUCCAUCUUCAAAAUAGCAAGAGCAACACCCACAUGGCGAAUAUCUACAUGUAACACAGAUUUGUAAACUUGAUAUUCUCAAUAUGUCAAGAUAGGAAAACUGAGACAUGUAAAAACAUUAGUUACCAAUUGUUGUCACCCCCCACAUCAACAAUCUUGGGCAACUUGAUAUUCUCAACAGCGUUCUCCUCAUCUUCAUCCCUCUCCUAAUUAUUUGUAAGUUAGCCAC